GACAGUUACGCUUCAACAUUUGAAAAGCAUUGGAGAUCAAGAUUUCCAAUAGAAGUGUAAACCAUGAAAACUAUGUACUGGUUUGCAAUAAUAGUGAUAAAGACAUACAUUGCCACAACCUGCCCAGCAUAGGGUCCAAAGCUGGGGAAAGUGGUGGGAGAUGAAGAAAAAUGAGAAACAUGAAGAACACCAAGAUUAUGCUUGAAAGCUGGAACCAAGUGGAGCCAUAGCCUGUUGGGAGCUAAUGGCUGCCUGGCAUCCAGCAUGCUCUUUAUUUAUAGCGUAAGACAAACAGGAAGAGAAGGCGGGGGUAACUAGUGCUACGUGGCCUAGGCUGAAUGCAGCAUGCUGAACAUAGUGUGAUUCAUGUCUUGUGAUCGGGCCAUGCGCAGAAAGGGAACAAGGAAGAAAGAUGCAUAAUGUAACUGUCGCUGGGGCUGUGCCAUCCAGGGUCUACAAUUGAACAGACGAUGUGUAUUUGACUAGCUAGUCUAUGGAGGAGAAAGGGAGUAGGGAGGAGUCGAAGGACCAUGUUCAGGCUCAACCCACAGCAAUACAUAGAGAUUAUCAUGAUUUCUUUUGUAGUUUAACACAAUACGCUGCAAUGGAUUUUCUUUUUCUUUUUUUUUUUUUUAGUACCAGGGAUUGAACUUGGGACCUUGUAUUUGCGAGGCAGCCGGCAGCACCACUGAACUAAAUCCCGGGCCCUGGAAUGGAUUUUCAUGCAUAUAAUUUAUAAACCUUUAAAAGGAGUCAGGAACUCAAGGUUCUGCCUGGAAAAUUACUUGAGGUGUAUCAAGUGAAUAGUUAUAUACUAAAUGAGCCACAACCCUAGGAAAGCUUCAACGGGCUGAGAUUCCAAGGUGGCUCAUUCCCCUACCAGGUGGGUUUUGCUGGCAGUUGGCUGAGAGCUUAGGUGGGGCUGCCAGCCAGGGCAUGUACCUAUGGCCUCUCUAUGUGUCCUCAACUUCCUCACAGUGUGGUUGCCUCAAGUAGUUGGGCUUAUGUGACAGGUCAGGGAGAUAGAAGUUUCUCAGUGGACAGGUAGAAGCUGUAUUAUUCCUUAUAAUGAGAUUCUCAUAGGCCUUAUUAGUUUCUUUUUCUAUAUCACUGCAGUUGCAAUUGAGUCAGAAGCCCAUAUAGAUGCCUGGAGGGUAGGCAUAGACCCCAUGUUUGGUCAAAGGAAAGUCCAAAAUUUCUAGACAUUGAAAAAAA
Molecule: non-coding RNA, 1215 nt
Organism: Heterocephalus glaber (naked mole-rat)
Lineage: Eukaryota; Metazoa; Chordata; Mammalia; Rodentia; Bathyergidae
Source: RefSeq, a predicted model, not a curated record